GGGAGAGGUAAGAGGUACUGCAGGGGUAGGAGUGAAAUCUUGUAAUCCCUGUGAGACCACCAGUGGCGAAGGCGUCUUACCAGAACGGGUCCGACGGUGAGGGACGAAAGCUGGGGGCACGAACCGGAUUAGAUACCCGGGUAGUCCCAGCUGUAAACGAUGCUCGUUAGGUGUCAGGAACGGUGCGACUGUUUCUGGUGCCGAAGGGAAGCCGUGAAACGAGCCACCUGGGAAGUACGGCCGCAAGGCUGAAACUUAAAGGAAUUGGCGGGGGAGCACUACAACGGGUGGAGCCUGCGGUUUAAUUGGACUCAACGCCGGAAAACUCACCGGGGGCGACAGCAAUAUGUAGGUCAGGUUAAAGGUCUUACCUGAAUCGCUGAGAGGAGGUGCAUGGCCGUCGUCAGUUCGUACUGUGAAGCAUCCUGUUAAGUCAGGCAACGAGCAAGACCCGUGCCCACUGUUACCAGCAUAUCCUUUAUGGAUGAUGGGGACUCUGUGGGGACCGCUGCUGCUAAAGCAGAGGAAGGUGCGGGCUACGGUAGGUCAGUAUGCCCCGAAUCUCCCGGGCUACACGCGGGCUACAAUGGUUGGGACAAUGGGUAUCUACUCCGAAAGGAGUUGGCAAUCUCUUAAACCCAAUCGUAGUUCGAAUUGAGGGCUGUACUCGCCCUCAUGAAGCUGGAAUCCGUAGUAAUCGCGUUUCAACAUAGCGCGG
This 718-nucleotide ribosomal RNA is filed under the name uncultured archaeon. Its description in RNAcentral is "bacterial SSU rRNA". It matches the Rfam family "Archaeal small subunit ribosomal RNA", at positions 601 to 1318 of the family's 1478-position model. The record is from RNAcentral.